ACAUUUCAAAAACAGCUGAUGGGGCGGCGGUGCGUGUGCACAUGUUAUGCUGAUGUUGCGCGAUGUUAAACAUGCGGCGCCCGAGUGCAUUUGACCGGCAUUAAAUUGACAUAUGUCAGUCUGACUUGCCUCAAAAGAUUGAGA
Long non-coding RNA from Etheostoma cragini (Arkansas darter), 144 nucleotides. RefSeq lists it as uncharacterized. The record is from RefSeq and is a predicted model, not a curated record. NCBI's taxonomy places the organism in Eukaryota, Metazoa, Chordata, Actinopteri, Perciformes, Percidae. The transcript has 3 exons.